RNAcentral lists this ribosomal RNA (342 nucleotides) under uncultured bacterium. Its description in RNAcentral is "bacterial SSU rRNA". It matches the Rfam family "Bacterial small subunit ribosomal RNA", at positions 28 to 369 of the family's 1533-position model. The record is from RNAcentral.
GAUGAACGCUAGCGGCAGGCCUAAUACAUGCAAGCCGGACGGCAAGUUGAGUAGCAAUACUUGACCUAGAGUGGCGUAAGGGUGCGUAACACGUAUGCAAUCUGCCCACAGCCGGGAGAUAGCCCUCCGAAAGGAGGAUUAAUAUCCCAUAGGAAGAUGAGAUGGCAUCAUUUUAUUUUUAAACUACGGGGCUGUGGAUGAGCAUGCGGUUGAUUAGCUAGUUGGCGGGGUAAAGGCCCACCAAGGCGAUGAUCAAUAGGGGACCUGAGAGGGUGAUCCCCCACACUGGCACUGAGAUACGGGCCAGACUCCUACGGGAGGCAGCAGUAGGGAAUAUUGGAC